UCUUUUGUUAGGAUGGUUUUCCCUGUGAG
This 29-nucleotide non-coding RNA is filed under the name Mus musculus (house mouse). The record is from RNAcentral. Lineage: Eukaryota; Metazoa; Chordata; Mammalia; Rodentia; Muridae.